UAUACAUAUAUAGCUGGACAUACAUUUGUUGGAUGUUGUUGCUUUUAGCAAUUUCUCAUAACUUUGUUGUUGUUUUGUAGUGUCUGGCAGAAUGAUGGAAUCAAACUCUAUUAUGAAGUCAGCAGAUUUGGAGAUGCAAACGGUUGUUGUCGCUGAUCUCCUCCGUUUGUUUCCAGAUGAGCGGGAUGCUUUAAAUCAGUUUGACCUUGCUGCAUGUGAUAAACAGAUUCAAGAAUUACUUGACCUAAUUGAAAAUCCAACUAGAGAUGCUCUGAUUUCAGAUGUUGUUGGUAGGCUUACCUUGUUGUAUCAGCAGUAAUCACAACUGGAAGCUAAAAUAUAUUUUCAGUUACAGACUGACCAUCAGAUGGCUCUUCAAAGGGAGAUUGCUGCAAAGCUUGAGCUCUCAAAAGCUGAGGAGAGGAUGGAGAAAGCUGAAGCAAAGUUACUGGACCUGAAGGCAAAUGAGCUCAAGAAAGCUUCAUCCCAAAGGGGGGAACAGGCCCCCACCUUUCAGACCGUAACAGAAGUUUUGGAAGUCAGAUGGUCUGCAGUGAUUUCCUGCCAAAUCCCAUUGCAGUGAACAACCACCAAGAUGACCGAGUGCUGGACUCAGCAGGCACAAGUGGUCCAAUUAGGUGGGAGGAGCACCGUUCCAGCCUGAUCGGCACCCCUCUCCCUUCUGACUCUGUGUCGACCCCUAGGGGCCAGGAGAGACGCACAUGGAUCUCAGGAAACCAGUGACUAUUUUCACAUGGCUGAGGACUGAUUGUUAGCCCCAAAGACUGUGGACUUCAUCCUAUUCUUCAGAACUAAAAGGGGGGUGUUGGGACCCACAGCCAUGGAUUUCAACAUUAAACUCCAGUACAGACUUUCCAGAACUUUCAAAAUAAACCGCAUUAACCUUCUUCAGGCACAGCCAGGAAACGGGAUAACUGCGGAC
Long non-coding RNA from Girardinichthys multiradiatus, 943 nucleotides. RefSeq lists it as uncharacterized. The transcript has 3 exons. Lineage: Eukaryota; Metazoa; Chordata; Actinopteri; Cyprinodontiformes; Goodeidae. The record is from RefSeq and is a predicted model, not a curated record.